UACGUAGGGAGCAAGCGUUGUCCGGAAUCAUUGGGCGUAAAGCGCGCGUAGGUGGCCAUGUAAGUCCGCUGUGAAAGUCAAAGGCUCAACCUUUGAAAGCCGGUGGAUACUGCAUGGCUAGAGUACGGAAGAGGCGAGUGGAAUUCCUGGUGUAGCGGUGGAAUGCGCAGAUAUCAGGAGGAGCACCAAUAGCGAAGGCAGCUCGCUGGGACGUUACUGACACUGAGGCGCGAAAGCGUGGGGAGCGAACAGG
Molecule: ribosomal RNA, 253 nt
Filed under: uncultured bacterium
Lineage: Bacteria
Description: partial 16S ribosomal RNA
Rfam family: Bacterial small subunit ribosomal RNA
Source: RNAcentral